RNAcentral lists this ribosomal RNA (253 nucleotides) under uncultured bacterium. RNAcentral's name for it is "partial 16S ribosomal RNA". It matches the Rfam family "Bacterial small subunit ribosomal RNA", at positions 524 to 776 of the family's 1533-position model. The record is from RNAcentral.
UACGGAGGUGGCAAGCGUUGUUCGGAUUUACUGGGUGUAAAGGGUGCGUAGGUGGUCAGGCAAGUCAGGUGUGAAAUCCCACGGCUCAACCGUGGAACUGCGCUUGAAACUGCUUGGCUUGAGUGCAUGAGAGGAGAGGGGAAUUCUCGGUGUAAGGGUGAAAUCUGUAGAUAUCGAGAGGAACACCAGCGGCGAAGGCGCCUCUCUGGCGUGCAACUGACACUGAUGCACGAAAGCGUGGGGAGCAAACAGG